CUGGUAUUCGAGACCUUGAUAAUGCCAACACUUAGAAUAUUACCAAUUUUAGUAGUAGUUUGCUGCCUCAUCUUUCUUCUUUUUCCCCUAGUAGGUUCUGACUUAUUCUGGAGAGGAGUAGGAAGUAAUAUGAGCAGGAACUCUUGGGAGGCCAGAACAACCAACCUGCGUAUGGAUUGUCGAAAGAAACAUAAAGACGCAAAAAGGAAAAUGAAACCAAAAUAAUAAAUGUCAGUUGGUUUUGAUACUGAAUGUGAACAAGGCUCACUAAGGAAACUGACCCAGAAAACAGUUUUAGCUGACAAAGAAGAAAUUUCAGAGUGAAGGAAUUUUAAAAAUCUGGCUGACGGAAUAUCAUUCUGGUUGCCAUCUUUUUCUGUGGAACUCCUCUGCAUUUCUUCCUAAGUAAUUACUUCAAAAAUUAAAUUCAACUUCUUAUAAAGGAAGAACAAGAUAGUCCUUGAAAAUACUUUUUGUAUAUAAUCUCUUUGCCCUCUAUCCUGAGUAACUAAUGGACAUCUUCUCAUGCAAGGUUUACAUGAAGCCUUUUUUAAUAAAUGAGUCAAAGCACUUGUAUUUUCCAGCCUAGGCUUUGUGUGAAUUAUAGGCUAUUUGAAAUUUUAUUUCUGAUUAUGUCAAAU
Molecule: long non-coding RNA, 641 nt
Filed under: Pan troglodytes (chimpanzee)
Lineage: Eukaryota; Metazoa; Chordata; Mammalia; Primates; Hominidae
Description: long non-coding RNA NONPTRT017875
Source: RNAcentral